GCCUCAGUUUGGGGAUCCUUUCUCAGGAUCAGAGGGCUGGAAACAGAGCCCCUUAUAAAAUGAAUACUACCAGGACUAAUGUUAUCCCAGUCAGAGAGUAAUGACCAGGACUAACUUCAGGUGGGCAGGGCGUUCUCAGCUGAGCCCUCUUUGCAGGAGUGGAGGGGAAAGCCGGCAUGGCGGCCAUUGCAGACCCCCACAACCAGCUGGACCCUAACUCAAUGUACCAGGAAUUGCAGAAGGUUCUUGCAUCCUAUGCCCAGCCCAUCUUCCUGCGUCUUCUGCCCCAAGUGGAUACAACAGGCACCUUCAAGAUCCAGAAGACCCGGCUACAGCGUGAAGGCUUUGACCCCCGCCAGACCUCAGACCGGCUCUUCUUUCUAGACCUGAAACAGGGACGC
This 401-nucleotide long non-coding RNA is filed under the name Rattus norvegicus (Norway rat). Its description in RNAcentral is "long non-coding RNA NONRATT011386". The record is from RNAcentral. Lineage: Eukaryota; Metazoa; Chordata; Mammalia; Rodentia; Muridae.